AUGGCCUGGGCCCCUCUGCUCCUCACGCUGCUCACGUACUGCUCAGGGGUCAGUUCGCAGCCCGUGGUGACUCAGGAGCCCUCGAUGUCGGUGACCCCAGGAGGGGCUGUCACUCUGUCCUGCAGCCUGAGCACUGGAGCCGUCACCACCAGCAACUAUCCAGCCUGGCACCAGCACAAACCUGGCACUGCUCCUCGGCAGCUUAUAUGCAACACCAAUACCAGACCCUCCGGGAUCCCUGCCCGGUUCUCUGGGUCCAUAUCCGGUAACAACGCUGCCCUGACCAUCACCGGUGUCCAGGCAGAGGAUGAGGCUGACUAUUACUGUGUUGUGUAUACCGGCAGUAGUAGUUGGACUCACACCAGCACCAUGCACGUGCCUGUCUCUGACUCUUGGCUCGGGCGGCUCAUUGCCAGCUCCAGCUACACACAGCCAAGCCCAAACUUCUCAUAG
Non-coding RNA from Malaclemys terrapin pileata, 453 nucleotides. NCBI's taxonomy places the organism in Eukaryota, Metazoa, Chordata, Testudines, Emydidae. The record is from the annotation of a RefSeq genome assembly.